RNAcentral lists this ribosomal RNA (468 nucleotides) under uncultured bacterium. Its description in RNAcentral is "partial 16S ribosomal RNA". It matches the Rfam family "Bacterial small subunit ribosomal RNA", at positions 28 to 507 of the family's 1533-position model. The record is from RNAcentral.
GACGAACGCUGGCGGCGUGCUUAACACAUGCAAGUCGAACGGAAAGGCCCUGCUUUUGUGGGGUGCUCGAGUGGCGAACGGGUGAGUAACACGUGAGUAACCUGCCCUUGACUUUGGGAUAACUUCAGGAAACUGGGGCUAAUACCGGAUAGGAGCUCCUGCUGCAUGGUGGGGGUUGGAAAGUUUCGGCGGUUUGGGAUGGACUCGCGGCUUAUCAGCUUGUUGGUGGGGUAGUGGCUUACCAAGGCUUUGACGGGUAGCCGGCCUGAGAGGGUGACCGGCCACCUUGGGACUGAGGUACGGCCCAGACUCCUACGGGAGGCAGCGGUGGGGAAUCUUGCACAAUGGGCGGGAGCCUGAUGCAGCAACGCCGCGUUCGGAAUGACGGCCUUCGGGUUGUAAACCGCUUUCGCCUGUGACGAAGCGUGAGUGACGGUAAUGGGUAAAGAAGCACCGGCUAACUACGUG